This is a long non-coding RNA of Lactuca sativa (garden lettuce), 878 nucleotides long. RefSeq lists it as uncharacterized. NCBI's taxonomy places the organism in Eukaryota, Viridiplantae, Streptophyta, Magnoliopsida, Asterales, Asteraceae. The record is from RefSeq and is a predicted model, not a curated record.
GUCAAAAAGAACGUAGAAUAUAAUACUCCGAGCAACAGAAAACACAAGAAAAACACUCCAUGACCGUUUAUUUUCCAUUUAAUUUUGGCUUCAAAAUCUAAUAUUUCCACAUUUGUUCAAAGGGUUCCCCAACAAAUCUCCUGAAAAUUUUCACAAGAAUAUACAGUCGAUUUCUUUUUUAGGGUUUGGGCGUUCACUCGGCAAUCGAACUCUGCUCCAUUCGUACACCAGAGGAAAAUCCAGCUUGAAAAGUGAUUGAUUACAAUGAACUAUGGAUUCAGCUUCAAGAACACUCGCCUAAAAUCAUCAACAGCUAUGCAAACAUUUCGUUUUGCAUUGUUUAUGGCCUUCGGCAUUUGGUUAUUAUACCAGAUCAAUCAAUCAUCCACAAAGAAGAGUGUCGCUAGUGAGAUCUUCUCAAUCCAUCUCAACAACCAGCGAAUUUCCAGCAUAUUGGGACGAAAAGGGCGAGUCACACCAUUGAAGUCGACUCACCGAGUCAGCUCAGAAGUGAUCCUAUAUGAUACAACGAAUAAUCCUGGUGAACUCAAUGAUAGUGUCCAAGAACAGGAAUCGAUAGCAACAGAAGUGCUGACUAAGAAGUCAAACGAUCAUGAACUUAUAGAGCCUGAAGAUGUUUAUAGAUUUCUUGAUGAAAAUGGAAUUCCUGAGGCUGAUCGUGAAAAGUUGGUUGGGAAUGAGUCGACUCGGUCGGGUAAUGAAAGUUGAAACCCAUGUAUGAGCUCAAAACAUUAUUUUCAGCCUUUUCCUAUUAGUUAGAAAGUAUAUAUAUAUACAAAAUAUUCUUACUUGUAUAUGUAUCAGAAUAAAGAUGUCUAUUAAGAUCUCCAUUUAUAUCAAAAUUACACUCAAGAUUA